Pseudoliparis swirei is the source of this 2240-nucleotide long non-coding RNA. RefSeq lists it as uncharacterized. The record is from RefSeq and is a predicted model, not a curated record. The transcript has 2 exons. Lineage: Eukaryota; Metazoa; Chordata; Actinopteri; Perciformes; Liparidae.
ACAGACACAGUGAGAUUAACAAAUUAUAAUUUCAUAAAGAAUGCAUUCAAUCCUUUUGGUCGACAGCCUUUUAGCUUCAUUUGGUCAAUAAAGGCAUCGUCGGUGUUUCAUGACGAGGAUUUACCGGGAGCCACUUCAUCUAUUCUGGGAUGUGUGUGUGCUUCCACAAUUAAUGUUCAGAACAACUAUUUCCCUAUGUUUAGAAUCUAAUUGAUUGUUAAAGUCAUUUUUAUGGGGAAAAUAUGGCAGAAAAUACAGUUCAGCCUCAUAAAUACGGUUAAAUAAGGUUAAAUUCCACUUUUCUAGAUUUUAUAUGCCAUUAAAUUGUUAUAAUUGACUACUUUACUGCACUUUGUGACUGCGAUAAGUGCAAUAAAAAUACUUACUUAAUAAACUGAAUAUCUAUUUUGGGCAUUAAAAAGCAGCGUUUUAUUAACAUAUGCUGCUCGGCCGAGAACGCAGGACAUUUUACCGUUUGUCCAGUAACGCUGAUUUUUAUUUCGCCAGUAGGUGGCGUUCUUUAAUUCUACGUGAAAUUAGGCUCGUCCAUAUCCUCAGUACGUGACUUCUAACAAGCACGACAAGUUUUGGGCAGAUUUGAGUAAGUCCAGUUGAGCCACUAGGUGGCGCUUUGACGAAGUGAACAUAUUCAUGCAUCAUGUGUCAACUUGUCAUUUAAUUUUUUUAAAUAGGUGUUCCUAUGACAGAUUUGUAUGUUUAUUCAUGUAAAUGUCUUCAGGCCUUGACUGGCAUCAUCCAUGAUUAUUUUUGGAAGUAUUGGAUUAGUUUAAGUAAUAUUCUAUAACAGACAUGGGCAAACUACGGCCCGCGGGCCACAUCCGGCCCGUUAGGCUUUUUAAUCCGGCCCGCCGAACUUGUCCAAAUCGCAACUUUGUUUACUUCCGGUGUGCGUUAGCGCGGAAAGAACUCGUCACACGAAACCCUUCACCGUGAUUUGUCAAUCCGUUUGUCUGUCAACAUUUUGCGAAAAAAACAACCAAUGAACACUCAGUAAAUCACAAAGGACCCGCCCACCACACAGGUGAGGCUCAUUUAGAAACAGCCGCAGUGAUUUUGGCGAGCAGCGCGGAGCCUGGAGGAGCUGCAGAGCCACGAGGAGGAACACGCAGCCAGAAGAGAGCCACUUGGACCGGAGAGGAUUCACCAGCGCCUGCAGCUCAACCUGCAGCUCAACCUGCAGUUCAACCUGCCCGGCCAGCAAAGAGGUCUCGUGCCCCGGAGGACCACCAGCAUGACACGAUGACAUGAUGUUAUUAUAGUGAAGCCAUAUUGUAAAUAGUCUGUGCCAAUAGUUGUGUUCUGUUUUCUAUUUCUCAACAUGUAUAUAAUGUAGUUUUAUUUAUUUAUGUACAAUACAUAUUUAUUUGAAGAAAAAAAAAUGUAAUGGUCAUUUUUUAUUUGCACACAACCCAUGAAGAUUUAUCUGCAAUAUGAAGUCAUUUCUCAGUCCCAUCUUUAUCAUUUUGGUGAAUGUGUGACGGACCACAUAAUUUUUACUCAAAAAAACGAUAAUAACAAAUUUAGUUUUCCACAUUUAUUUACAUGUAUCUAGCAUUGUAUUCAGAUAUUUCACUGCUUUUGUGAACCUAUGACCUUUGGUAAACCAAUUUCAAACACCAAAACAGUUCGUCCACAUGAUUAAAGGUGUGUUUUCAGAAGAGAUAUGAAGAAUUUUUAAAAAUCGAACUUCAAUUUUCAGCUUUAGGGCCAUAUUUUCUCUUUCCACUUGUACCUGAGGACAAUUGUGCCUCAUUAUAUAGAGAGCUGAGACAAUCCGUCCAUUAUUUUGCGGGGUUUAAAACAAUUAGAAAUUAUUGAGCUUGAUUAUUUCGUUGGGUAAAAAUAUGUUUUGAAUGUUGAAAGUGAUUCCAUUGAUCUUUUUCCAGUAAAUGUCAAUUUCUUUAACUUUGCACCUUCAAUUGAAAUGUAUAAAAAUCAGACGCAAUCUCCAGGUUUAAUAAAUUACAUUGCGUGUCCAUUUGGGGCGGCUGUAGCUCAGUGGGGUAAGAGGGUCGUCCUGCAACCACAAGGUUGUGGGCUCGAUCCCCGCUCUCCCCAUUAGUUGCAAGUCGAAGUGUCCUUGAGCAAGGCACUGAACCCCCAGUUGCUUCCCGGGCGCAUCACUGCAGCCCACUGCUCCUUAAUAACUAAGGACGGGUUAAAUGCAGAGAAGUAAUUUCCCCUUGGGGAUUAAUAAAAGUGUAUAUUAAUUUAUUUAU